GGUCCCGUGGUGUAACGGUUAUCACUCUGGACUCUGAAUCCAGCAAUCCUAGUUGUUCAAAUAUCGGCGGGACCU
Non-coding RNA from Ciona savignyi (Pacific transparent sea squirt), 75 nucleotides. Lineage: Eukaryota; Metazoa; Chordata; Ascidiacea; Phlebobranchia; Cionidae. The record is from Rfam.